This 147-nucleotide non-coding RNA is filed under the name uncultured Maritalea sp. RNAcentral describes it as "FMN riboswitch (RFN element)". It matches the Rfam family "FMN riboswitch aptamer (RFN element)". Rfam says of the family: The RFN element is a highly conserved domain that is found frequently in the 5'-untranslated regions of prokaryotic mRNAs that encode for flavin mononucleotide (FMN) biosynthesis and transport proteins. This element is a metabolite-dependent riboswitch that directly binds FMN in the absence of proteins. The record is from RNAcentral. Lineage: Bacteria; Pseudomonadati; Pseudomonadota; Alphaproteobacteria; Hyphomicrobiales; Devosiaceae.
CUUCUCAGGGCGGGGCGAAAUUCCCCACCGGCGGUAACUUGAAAAUUCAAGAAGCCCGCGAGCGCCUUGGUUCAAACUUUGGACUGAGGGUCAAGCAGAUCUGGUGCAACUCCAGAGCCGACGGUCAUAGUCCGGAUGAAAGAGAAG